CCCACACUGCGACACCUCUCUCUAUCCUUCCCCAUUCCUCUUCCUCCCACUCCUCUUCCUCUUCCACCCACGCCCGACCAGUCCCAUCCGCCGUCGCGCGCUCCCGAUCCGGAGGAGCAGAUCAUCCCACGCCCGAGCCCGCUGAACCCAGCCUAGCUCCCGCGCCCACCGCCCCUGUGCAGGUCCGCCUCUUCAGAGAUCCACAUCGUGCCGCCGCCAGUUCAGGAUCCAACCUCAGCGCCUCCUGGCUAGGCUUGAGGAACGAAUGCCGGGAGAGCCUUCGCCACGCCGGUGGUAGCGGCGGCGAGGCCAACGCGCCGACAACCACUGUUCAAGGGGGCAUGCAGGAUGUGCUUCCGCAUCACCCUCUCCUCCACUCCAAGACGGCGGCCUCGGACGGGGCAGGAAUUGGAUAACACGUCCACCACCUGAUCGAGCGCAACCGCAACAGAGGAACGCCACCUCUGCCUCGUCGUGCAGGAGAUGCUUCACUAGGGCCGAAGUCAAUGUGUCGGAGCAGGUGCUUCGGGGCGGCUGGGUUUGUCUACAGGUCUGUCCUUUUUGUGUUGAAUUUGAGCACAACUAGUCUGGUUUUGUUUUAGCCUCAUUUGUCUUGAGAUGAACAAAUUCACAUAUAUAUUUCCAGUGUGAUGCGAGGCACAUGUUAAUUCAGUUACACGUAGUCUUUGAUUUAUUUGUACUUUGUUUAGCAUUCAGGUAUGUUUGUUUGUUUGAAAUAUUUGAAAAUUUGUGCCAAGGUGCCCAUAUAAGUGCUGAUUAUUCAGUAAGUCAAUAGACAAGAAAUUGCAUACCUUGUUUUUUGAUGAUGAUGGAAGUGAUAAUUUUGGUGU
Molecule: long non-coding RNA, 851 nt
Organism: Triticum dicoccoides
Lineage: Eukaryota; Viridiplantae; Streptophyta; Magnoliopsida; Poales; Poaceae
Exons: 2
Source: RefSeq, a predicted model, not a curated record